UCAAUAAAUCUGAUGAAAAUUGAGUCGAAGUUUUACAACUUUUGAGCUAGACAAACCAUGAAACACUACGUUUGAGAGCAUGUUUCCUAGUGAGGGUUUAAAAAUGUAUUUUAAUGAAGAUAACUGCUGGUGCAUUUUCGCGCUCAGGAUUGUAGAGCAAAAACUAUUUCAAGCAUGGGACAUGACAGCUGAAGGGACAACAUAUUUAAAUGUAAAACAAAAGGAAAUUGAUUCAACAGUAUACAUGCCUUUCGCGCAUGUACAAGCAAAUGUAACGAGUCAUUCAAAAUGGAAUUAUAAGUGUAACGUGUCGCCGUAAGACGUGACCGAAAUCAUUGCGGCGACGGCGCAUGCGCGUGCAAUGGUAGCCACAACCAUCGUUCUAGCAAAGUUACGGAAAGGAUGACUUCAACCACUGAUUUGACUCAGGGUGCAUGAUUUAAUGUAUGGAUGAUUUUCAUUUCUUCUAAAUUUCAAGAAAACUAUGACAUUACCAUUGCUCUAUUUUCUUUAAAAUUUUCCCAAAAGCAUAACAGCCCUGUGAAACCGCCAUUCUAAAACAAAAGAACAGACUCUCUAUAAUAAAAAGCUCACCAGGUUGGCAAUUUUUUUUCACCAGUUUUUUUUAUGUCUAUUUUCGUUAUGGAAAAUAAUCAACCAGGUUUGGACGGACUUCGAACUUACUUAGGGCAGUAUUGAACUAUGCAAAAGUACACAUUUCGUCCCGUGGGCUUGUAUCACAAGUCUUUCGGUUGACAGCCGAACGCGCUAACCGAUUGCGCCACAGAGACUUUAACGAAUGUAAAUUUGGCAUCAAGUGAUUCACUUUGUGUUACGUUGGUUGAGCAUAAAAUAUUCACGAUGCCAUA
Nematostella vectensis (starlet sea anemone) is the source of this 869-nucleotide long non-coding RNA. RefSeq lists it as uncharacterized. The transcript has 2 exons. The record is from RefSeq and is a predicted model, not a curated record. Lineage: Eukaryota; Metazoa; Cnidaria; Anthozoa; Actiniaria; Edwardsiidae.